This is an RNA transcript of Carassius auratus (goldfish), 1406 nucleotides long. It is a transcript of the gene named type I iodothyronine deiodinase-like, with no coding region annotated. NCBI's taxonomy places the organism in Eukaryota, Metazoa, Chordata, Actinopteri, Cypriniformes, Cyprinidae. The transcript has 4 exons. The record is from RefSeq and is a predicted model, not a curated record.
GCGAAGGUUGGUUCAUGAAUAUUAAUUACGCUCCUUGACGUUCUUCCAAUAGCCCAGCUUUUAGGUAAGCUUUUGCUACAACACGGGCAAAGUUUGACGUCUUUUUUCAUUCAUGUAACGUUAGUGCUCGCGCCACGACGCGUGGACCGAUACAUUCUUCUCACGAUGGGGACAGCAGUGGGAUAUGCGCUCAGAAAACUCUCGGUUUAUGUAUCAGCUGUGGCCAUGAUAUUAUUUGCGAUCGCGCAGAUGACUCUGUUGAAACUCCUGUCUUUCGUUUCCCCGGGACUGAUGAGGAAAAUUCAUCUGAAAAUGGGAGAGAAGUCGACGAUGACUCAGAACCCCAAAUUCAGAUACGAGGACUGGGGUCCGACUUUCUUUUCUCUGAGGUUCAUUAAAACCGUGCUAUCCGUGAACUGGUGCUCGCUGGGCCUGGAGGCUUUUGAGGGGCACGUUGCUCCGGACACAGCUUUAAUCACCCUGGAAGGACAGAAAACAAGCGUUCAUCGUUUUCUUAAAGGGAACCGUCCACUGGUUCUGAGUUUCGGAAGCUGCACCUGACCCCCAUUUCUUUACAAACUUGACGAGUUCAAACAACUUGUCAAGGACUUCAGUGAUGUGGCAGAUUUCCUUGUUGUUUACCUUGCAGAAGCGCAUGCGACUGAUGCUUGGGCCUUUACAAACAACGUUGACAUCAGUGUGCACAAAAACUUGGAGGAGAGACUGGCUGCGGCCCGGACCCUGGUCAAAGAAGACCCCCUCUGCCCUGUGGUAGUGGAUGAGAUGACCAACAUCACUGCCAGCAAAUACGGAGCCCUGCCUGAGCGCCUCUAUGUCAUUCAGAGUGGGAAAGUUAUCUAUCAGGGUGGCAUUGGACCUUGGGGGUACCACCCUGAAGAGGUUCGAAAAGUUCUGGAGAAAAUUAAUUAAAAGGGAAAAAAUUGAAGUUUUCUAUCCAUGAUUGCAUUGAUAUAUUUGCACUUUUCUGAACUUCUAGUGCUUGAAAUCUUUUUGAGUCCUUGUGUUUGCUUGUGACAGUUACAGAUCAAACCAGCUGGUCUCUGUAUCUUGAUGUUUCAAACACGGGGAUGUAAAGGUUUUUUAUAUAAACAUUGAUAUAUUUUUUCUGCUUUAAGGCAAAUACAUAAUUAUUAUACCAGUAUUGGAUUCAAAGACUACAUAUUCAUCAGCAGAGAUUGUGAAGGGCACCUGUGCUUGUAAGUUUUUUUUUCUUUCUUUUUUUUAACUUGUGACUGUAAAUGAUGCUUACAGAUUAAAACUGUGAUCUGUAAACUGAUAACUCAUAAGUCAUUUGUUCUAAACAAAUUUAGAAGCACAGAUGUCACUGAAUGCACAGAGCUUUCAACAACUAUUCAAAUAAACUGUCAUAUAUAUAUAUAUAUCUC